CAACCUAUCUAUCGCUGCCAACCUAUCUAUCGCUGCCAAUUUAUCUACCACUGCCAAUCUAUCUAUUGCUGCUAAUCUAUCGCUGCUGUCAAUCUAUCUAUCGCUGCUAAUCUAUCUAUCGCUGCUAAUCUAUCGCCGCUGCCAAUCUAUCCCUCACUGCUAAGCUAUCCCUCGCUGCUAAGCUAUCACUGCCAAUCUAUCGCUGCUAAUCUAUCGCUGCCAACCUAUCUACCGCGGCGAAUCUAUCUAUCGCUGCCAAUUUAUCUACCACUGCCAAUCUAUCUAUCGCUGCCAAUCUAUUGCUGCUGCCAAUCUAUCUUUCGCUGCUAAUCUAUCGCCGCUGCCAAUCUAUCUUUCGCUGCCAAUCUAUCUAUCGCUGCCAAUCUAUUGCUGCUGCCAAUCUAUCUUUCGCUGCUAAUCUAUCGCCGCUGCCAAUCUAUCCCUCGCUGCUAAGCUAUCCCUCACUACUAAGCUAUCUAUCACUGCUAAUCUAUCGCUGCCAACCUAUCUAUCACUGCCAAUCUAUCUAUCGCUGCUAAUCUAUCGCUGCUAAUCUAUCGCUGCUAAUCUAUCGCUGCUAAUCUAUCGCUGCCAACCUAUCUACCGCGGCGAAUCUAUCUAUCACUAUCAUUACUAGUUCAAAAUAGAACUAGAGCAUAAAUACACUAAACUUCUUUUGAUAGGUAAUGAUUUUUGGUAACACUCAUAGCAUUAUAUCAUCUAUAUAGGGUAAAUCAUGGUCCCAUUUGGUCCCAUUUUAACAAAAUGGGACCAAAUGAGACCAGAAUCAGUAAUUUAUAAGAAGAACAUGACCUGGGACUAGAUUUAUAAUAUAAACAGUGUAAAGUGACUAAUUUAAUAAACACUAUAUGGGACCAGGACUAAGAAAUUUGAUAAUGGAACUGGCA
Molecule: small RNA, 908 nt
Filed under: Histoplasma ohiense
Lineage: Eukaryota; Fungi; Ascomycota; Eurotiomycetes; Onygenales; Ajellomycetaceae
Description: hypothetical lncRNA
Source: RNAcentral